ACUAAAGCUAGCCCAAAUAACAAACAACUAAACUACAAAGCAAGCAUCAAACAAAACAUUUAGUCAUACAUUAAAGUAUAGGAGAUAGAAAUUUUAACUGGAGCUAUAGAGACAGUACCGCAAGGGAAAGAUGAAAGAGAGUUCAAAGUAAAAAAUAGCAAAGAUUACCCCUUCUACCUUUUGCAUAAUGAGUUAGCUAGAACAACUUAACAAAGAGAACUUAAGCUAAGUCCCCCGAAACCAGACGAGCUACCUACGAACAAUCCCCUGGGAUGAACUCAUCUAUGUGGCAAAAUAGUGAGAAGAUUUGCAGGUAGAGGUGAAAAGCCUAACGAGCCUGGUGAUAGCUGGUUACCCAGAAUAGAAUUUCAGUUCAACUUUAAACUUACCCAAAACCCCAAGAAUUUUAAUGUAAGCUUAAAAUAUAAUCUAAAAAGGUACAGCUUUUUAGAUCAAGGAUACAACCUUACUUAGAGAGUAAACAUAAAUAAGACCAUAGUAGGCCUAAAAGCAGCCAUCAAUUAAGAAAGCGUUAAAGCUCAACAAUUCAAUCAACAUAAUACCAAAAGAACUCAAAACAACUCCUAACGUACUACUGGGUCAAUCUAUUCAAUUAUAGAAGAGACAAUGCUAAUAUGAGUAACAAGAAACCUUUUCUCCUUGCAUAAACUUAUAGCCGAAACGGAUAUCCACUGAUAGUUAACAACAAGAUAAAAUUAACUAACCAAUUAAUACACCUAUCAAACUAAUUGUUAAGCCAACACAGGAAUGCAGCCAAGGAAAGAUUAAAAGAAGUAAAAGGAACUCGGCAAACACAAACCCCGCCUGUUUACCAAAAACAUCACCUCCAGCAUUACUAGUAUUGGAGGCACUGCCUGCCCAGUGACGUAAGUUAAACGGCCGCGGUAUCCUGACCGUGCAAAGGUAGCAUAAUCAUUUGUUCUAUAAAUAAGGACUUGUAUGAAUGGCCACACGAGGGUUUAACUGUCUCUUACUUCCAAUCAGUGAAAUUGACCUUCCCGUGAAGAGGCGGGAAUAAAAUAAUAAGACGAGAAGACCCUAUGGAGCUUUAAUUAACUAACUCAACAGAACAAAUCCAGUCAACCAACAGGGAAUAAAAAUUUCUACAAUGAGUUAGCAAUUUAGGUUGGGGUGACCUCGGAGAACAAAACAACCUCCGAGUGAUAUAAACUAAGACAAACCAGUCAAAGUGCCACAUCAUUAAUUGAUCCAAAAAUUUUUGAUCAACGGAACAAGUUACCCUAGGGAUAACAGCGCAAUCCUGUUUGAGAGUCCAUAUCGACAAUAGGGUUUACGACCUCGAUGUUGGAUCAGGACAUCCUAAUGGUGCAGCAGCUAUUAAGGGUUCGUUUGUUCAACGAUUAAAGUCCUACGUGAUCUGAGUUCAGACCGGAGUAAUCCAGGUCGGUUUCUAUCUAUUAACCAGUUCCUCCCAGUACGAAAGGACAAGAGAAACAAGGCCCACCUCAACACAGGCGCCUUAAGACUAAUAGAUGAUAUAAUCUCAAUCUAACCAGUCUAAUCCCCCAUGAGUCCAAGAAACAGGACUU
RNAcentral lists this ribosomal RNA (1571 nucleotides) under Phoca largha (spotted seal). Its description in RNAcentral is "16S ribosomal RNA". It matches the Rfam family "Bacterial large subunit ribosomal RNA", at positions 426 to 2925 of the family's 2925-position model. Lineage: Eukaryota; Metazoa; Chordata; Mammalia; Carnivora; Phocidae. The record is from RNAcentral.